This 1557-nucleotide long non-coding RNA is filed under the name Nicotiana benthamiana. RNAcentral's name for it is "long non-coding RNA (NBEN_LNC034849)". The record is from RNAcentral. Lineage: Eukaryota; Viridiplantae; Streptophyta; Magnoliopsida; Solanales; Solanaceae.
GCUUUACAAACACCAAACUUAAUAGCAGUGUUGCGAAGUUAAGACGACGAUAGAUCUAAUAGCUAAUGAUUCAAAUGAUUUCCAACACACAAAAAAAAUACACAUACACAGGCAGCCCAAUAUUACGGAAUGAAAUCACUGAUCAUCACCUAUUUAAUGAACUGUUAUGGAAUGAUACAUUUAAAUUCAGGCUCAAAUUAUUAUGUAGUGAUCAUCAUCUAGCAAGAAACCGCUGAUAUUUUGUCAAAUCAGCAGCCUAUCUUGACUGAACACCAAAAUUAACAACGAGGAAAUAGGAGAUAAGGUGGUGACAGUUAGAAUAUGGGUUAUAACAUGAUGUUCAAUUCUCAGCAUUUCAAAGACGACCUAGACACUCAUUCAGGAAUCAAACAACAUCGAUGAAUGCUUGUCGAAGCUUAUUGUUUGAACAAAUGCAACAGGAAAUAUCCUCGACACUAUAUAAAGCUACAAUCACCAGAUUUGCAACAUCAGCAGGGGAUCCAUUUUGAAGCAAGUAUGAGCUGAAGGAUAACACUAAAACAAUCUUCGAAAUCGAUACAAACACGAAUACAAUAUUGAAACCACACAAAUUUUACCCUCAUCUAUUCAGAAUCUGACUCACUACACAUGAAUUCAUGGAGAACAUUGAAAGCAUAACAAUAAAUGAAGUCGAGGGUAACCAUACAAGCCUCAUCUAUUUUUGUUUAACAUUCCCUCACUACACAUGAAUUCAUGGAGAACAUUGAAAGCAUAACAAUAAAUGAAGUCGAGGGUAACCAUACGAGCCUCGUAUAUUAUCACGACUGAAUUCAUUUUAACAAUCCUUCCAGGUCCAUCCAGGACUCAUUCACAAUAGAAAUAAUAGAAGGAGCAGAGAUAAACCUGAAAAAAAUGUAAGAGAAUCUCAGCACUUGAAAUCGAUGCAAAGCAACAGCAGCCACAGAUCGAUUACUCGAUCAACAACGAAUUCCAAUCACUUUGAAGACGGAAUAUAUGUAUUUCAAAACGGGUGAACAGUGAAUCGAACAACAAAAAGUCAUAGGACUUCAAACAUUUUCUGCAUAUGUGUUUUUUAGUAUCUACACUGCGAAUAAAAACAGAAUAAAUGUGAAGAACACUAGCUAUAGAAUUUUACUCCUCUUCUAUUUUCCUUCAGGUCCUCUCCUCUAAAAAAAGACCCCUGUAUCUAAUAUCCGAUCAUGUCCUUUAUAGAGACGUACCCCUGAUGAAAAUGGGGCUUGGAUUGAACGAAGUCAAUCCAACGACUCAUCCUCAUCCAACGACUCAUCUCUAGGACCUUCCAAUCGCGUGCUAAAUCUCUGACCUGAGCGAGUGAAAGGAAGGAGCAUUUUUAGUUCCAGAAAUCGUUAGAAAUGGUGAGAUAAGAGAAGGAGGGACCCGUGAAUUAAGGAUUUGGGCUUCACUCUCUUGGAUUUGAACGGAAUGUGGGGCUAGAUUCGCAUGUUCUUCAGAUGGGAUGAACAAUCGCGUUGGUUUUUAGGGAUUCUGUGAGUUUUGGGUUGUGUAGGAGUGGGUAUAGAGACAGGGUCGGGUCCC